Podarcis muralis (Common wall lizard) is the source of this 1567-nucleotide non-coding RNA. The record is from RefSeq and is a predicted model, not a curated record. Lineage: Eukaryota; Metazoa; Chordata; Lepidosauria; Squamata; Lacertidae.
GCGCGCGCCUGUCUUUCCCUCCUGGAAUUCUGCUGGAUGGGAAAGUCGGGAGGGCGGGAGAAGAGAAGGGAGCGCGCAGGCGCGAUCCUGUCCGGCCCGUGUUGUUAAGGCCCCUUUAAGAGGCUUGUGAGCGCGAGCGGCCCCGGCGGCGUUAAGGAAAAGCGGGCUCCGAUUGGUCGCUGCCGCGAGAGAGCUCCCUCCCACCGCGAGGCGUUAACUGUCACAAUGGAGGCCGCCAACGGCCCCGGAGAGAGAGAGAGAGAGAGAGAGAGAGAAGCAGCGGAGGCCGGGCGCUCGCUUCGGAGGGCUGAGGAGGAGGAGGACUGGAGAAAGAUGUUGAGCUCGCAUUUAAGGAAGCUGGGGAGAGAAACAAAAAGGAGGAGGCCAAGUUUCGUCUUGUGGGAAGGAUGCUAAGCGAGACUUGACCCGGAUGGAUGGACCUGUCUUCCCUUUACUAGGCGUGGGCGGGGUGCUGAUGGGGUACCUUGGCUCUGCCAGCGCUCUGAAGAAUGUGCACUAAAGCACAGGCCAUCUCCUCUUUGUUCCGGACACUGAUGACUGGCUCCAGAACAGAGCAUAACAUUGUGUAGUUGUUGGUCACAAAUUCUGCAAAUUCUUUGUACUGCUCCAUGGGGAGGAUGGUUAUAGUCUGGUAACGGCAUUUUAUCCGUAUGGAUGGACCUGUCUUCCCUUUAUUGGGCGUGGGAGUGCUGAUGGGGUACCACUUCUCCACGAAUUGCCGACCAGUCACAGCAGCUAUGGGGAUGUUGACCAGACCCACAUAGUUGUUCUUGUCCUUUUUCUUCUUCUUUUCAAAAUCUUUAUAGAUGUGGACGGUGAUGCUAUGGGCAGGUGGAAGGCCAAAGAAUUCAAAGUGCUCUCCCUAGAAGAUGUUGCCGUUUUUCAUUUUGCUGGUUGUGCGGGCAAAUGAGGUAUCGUCCACGCACAACAGCCCUGGGUGCCAUCGCUGAGAGGGGUGACAUUCGGCUGGGCCAGCCUUCCAAAGAAUGUCACUCCUGGGUGCGCCACCUGCCCGCAACUCACAAGCCUCCCCCGAGUUGUCGAAACGAGGGGGUUAAGGCCGCCAGCAAAGCGGUGCCAGCAGUGUGGCGCAGCUUUGCCGGCGGCCUUCCUCUUUCAUUUCAACAGGUCAGGGGAGGCUUGGGAGUCGCUGGCAGGUGGCGUACCCAGGGGUGACAUUCUUUGGAAGGCUGGCCUGGCCUUCCAGAAGGCAGCACCUGGCUUGCAGCACCCAGAGUGCCGCUCCACUUCUCCCAACGUUCCCGGAGGGCUAUGGAGGAGGAUGACUGGAGAAUGUUAGGUUAGAUGGGAAUGGGGCAAGCGAGAAAGUAUUGGAGGCACGGAAGGGGUGGGAGGCAGAGAUGUGGGAUGGUGGGUAGGGGUGCCCCAAAUGUGUCCGGGUUUUUGUAACCUGGAGUAUGGCAACCCUAAACUGCGUUUACAUCGCAUUACCCUCAAGAUAACAAGUUGUUUUAAAUUGUGCCUCAUGAUUCACUGCUCCACUUGUGAAGUGCUAAUAAAACUAGCAGGCUCAGCUUACAUCGUA